UGGGGAAUAUUGGACAAUGGGGGGAACCCUGAUCCAGCCAUGCCGCGUGUGUGAAGAAGGCCUUAUGGUUGUAAAGCACUUUAAGCGAGGAGGAGGGUACUGGUAUUAAUACUACCAGCUACUGGACGUUACUCGCAGAAUAAGCACCGGCUAACUCUGUGCCAGCAGCCGCGGUAAUACAGAGGGUGCGAGCGUUAAUCGGAUUUACUGGGCGUAAAGCGUGCGUAGGCGGCUAAUUGAGUCGGAUGUGAAAUCCCCGAGCUUAACUUGGGAAUUGCAUUCGAUACUGGUUAGCUAGAGUGUGGGAGAGGAUGGUAGAAUUCCAGGUGUAGCAGUGAAAUGCGUAGAGAUCUGGAGGAAUACCGAUGGCGAAGGAAGACAACUGGACUAAAACUGACGCUGAGGUACGAAAGCAUGGGGAGCAAACAGG
RNAcentral lists this ribosomal RNA (430 nucleotides) under Pseudomonadota bacterium. Its description in RNAcentral is "Proteobacteria bacterium partial 16S ribosomal RNA". It matches the Rfam family "Bacterial small subunit ribosomal RNA", at positions 355 to 776 of the family's 1533-position model. Lineage: Bacteria; Pseudomonadati; Pseudomonadota. The record is from RNAcentral.